GAUCAGCAUGCCGCGGUGAAUUCGUUCCCGGGCCUUGUACACACCGCCCGUCACACCAUGGGAGUUGGCAACACCCGAAGCCGGUGAGGUAACCGUAAGGAGCCAGCCGUCUAAGGUGGGGUCGAUGACUGGGGUGAAGUCGUAACAAGGUAGCCGUAUCGGAAGGUGCGGCUGGAUCACCUCCUUUCU
This 189-nucleotide ribosomal RNA is filed under the name Tumebacillus sp. BK434. RNAcentral describes it as "partial 16S ribosomal RNA". It matches the Rfam family "Bacterial small subunit ribosomal RNA", at positions 1347 to 1533 of the family's 1533-position model. The record is from RNAcentral. Lineage: Bacteria; Bacillati; Bacillota; Bacilli; Caryophanales; Alicyclobacillaceae.